This is a long non-coding RNA of Cylas formicarius (sweet potato weevil), 798 nucleotides long. RefSeq lists it as uncharacterized. The transcript has 2 exons. NCBI's taxonomy places the organism in Eukaryota, Metazoa, Arthropoda, Insecta, Coleoptera, Brentidae. The record is from RefSeq and is a predicted model, not a curated record.
UUCUAUUAUUAAGGUAAUGAUUUUGGGUGAGAUGAUUUAACGUUGAUACUGUACUACGUAUGAAGUUCAAUUAGAUAAGAAAAUGGUCUAGAUGUUAAUAUAUUGGCGGAGCACUACUUCGCUGAAUAUCUUUUAACUUGUAGACGUUCAAAUAGUAUAUCCCGUCGCGCUGGUUGAAAAAUGCAGUUUUUCAUGACAUUAUUCAUAAAUUAUGCAUAGACUAUCCCUAGCAAUUACUUAUGACAGUUUUGGAAAGCAUGAGAGAAAAGAAUGUAAGAAAAAAUGUUUAAUAAGGGAAUACAACUUUUGUUUCUGAAUGUUUAAAAAAAAUACUAAUUCAUUUUUUAAAAAUUUACUAUUUUUAAUUUUUUAUGUAUGAGUGUAUGUAUUGCAAGGUUUCGAUUGCUUGGAUCCGCAUCAAAUUUGUUUUUUCAUAUGCAACCCAUUUAGAUCACUAGUUCACGAAGUUUUCUAUAGAGAUUAGACAAUUUUAAGGGAAAAGAAGUAUGAAGAAGCCAUAUAGGCACAAAUCGUUAUCAACCAACUAACCAAACUGCGCAUAAGCAGGCAAAUCUGUUGCAUUGCAGAGAAAUCUAUUACACAUUAUCACAUUUAAUUUCAUAAAAAUUAAUGUAUUUAAAAAUCAUACCUAAAAUGGAUCCAAGAUAUUUAUCUCAUAGGUACGUAUAUUAACAAAAUAACAUUUUUAUGAUAUAGAGUGCUAUAAAAAAAAAUAACGCGAUAGAGCAAAAAUAUAGCGUUUUUUAGAAAACGCCCCCCCCCCCCAAAAUAUACAAA